AUGGAGUACGUCGCCGCGCCGAGCCUCCACAAGUUCCUGCGGAACAGGGGCAGCGGCCAGCCGCUCCUGGAGUCCACCGUGCGCGCCAUCAUGUGGAAACUCCUCACCGGUGCCAGGACGAUGCACGACCGCCACGUCGUCCUCGUCCACCGCGACAUCAAGCCCGGCAACAUCCUUGUCGGCCAAGACGGGGAGCUCGUCAAAAUCUGCGACUUUGGGCUGGCGAUCUCCAUGUCCGAGCUGCCGCCGUACAACCAGGCCGGCACGCCGUUCUACGUGGCGCCCGAGGUGCUCCUGGGGAAGCGGGGCUACGACGCGCUCGUGGACACGUGGUCUAUCGGCUGCGUCAUGGCCGAGAUGCUCACUGGUAAGACGCUGUUCCUCGGCGAUGAUGAUGACAACGCCGCAGACAAUGAGAUCAUCCAGCUCUGGAGCAUCUUCCGCUUGCUCGGGACGCCGGACGAGAGGACGUGGCCGGGGUUCACGUCGCUGCCGCUCACCGAAAAGGCGCUGAAACUGCUACCGCCGGGGCACCAGCACAACAAGCUGCGCGAUCUGUUCCCUGAAGAGAAGCUGUCCGAGCAUGGAUUCCAGGUGUUGCAAGGCCUUCUCACGUGCAACCCCAACCAGCGACUGACGGCGGUCACGGCGCUCAAGCACCGAUGGUUUGCUGCUCCUCGUCCAGCCGCCGCCGCUGCGAAGGUCGACGCUUUGUCGUUCCCGAAAAAGAAGGCACCAAGGAUCAAGUUCAUCCCGCCGGCCAUGCCGCAGAAGAAUCUACUCAAAAUUCCACUCGCCGUGUGGAACGCAGCUCAACGAGUCUAG
This 825-nucleotide ribosomal RNA is filed under the name Triticum aestivum (bread wheat). RNAcentral's name for it is "partial small subunit ribosomal RNA". The record is from RNAcentral. Lineage: Eukaryota; Viridiplantae; Streptophyta; Magnoliopsida; Poales; Poaceae.